Molecule: microRNA, 21 nt
Filed under: Brachypodium distachyon (stiff brome)
Lineage: Eukaryota; Viridiplantae; Streptophyta; Magnoliopsida; Poales; Poaceae
Description: bdi-miR7770-5p
Source: miRBase by way of RNAcentral
CCUUGAAAGCCUGUCUAGACA